RNAcentral lists this ribosomal RNA (328 nucleotides) under uncultured eukaryote. Its description in RNAcentral is "partial 18S ribosomal RNA". It matches the Rfam family "Eukaryotic small subunit ribosomal RNA", at positions 1470 to 1796 of the family's 1831-position model. The record is from RNAcentral.
CCCUUAGACGUUCUGGGCCGCACGCGCGCUACACUGACCAGUGCAACAAGCAUCCGUCCUUGGCCGACAGGCCCGGGCAAUCUUUGAACGCUGGUCGUGAUGGGGAUAGACUUUUGCAAUUUUUGGUCUUCAACGAGGAAUUCCUAGUAAACGCAAGUCAUCAGCUUGCGUUGAUUACGUCCCUGCCCUUUGUACACACCGCCCGUCGCUCCUACCGAUUGAAUGGUCCGGUGAAGCGUUCGGACCGUGGCCUUUGGACGGUUCGCCGUCUGUUGGCUGCGGGAAGUUCGUUAAACCUUAUCAUUUAGAGGAAGGAGAAGUCGUAACA